CGCGCAGAGUUCAAAAGGAGAGAGAGAGGCCGAACGCGAGGGGGGAGGGAACCCUCAUCGUCGUCGUUCGUGGAGUCUGCGCCAGCACUGUCAUCGCUGUAGCGGAGGAGCGUCCCUGUCUCUGCGAGCUGCCGCCAUCGAAGCUUCUACUUCUGCUUUGCUGCUUCUGCUGUCACGCCGUCGUCCCUCUAGAUAUCGCUGCUUCUGAAUCCCCUGUCACUAGUUCUCUGCUUCUGAAUCCCCUGUCACUGGUUCUCUGCCUCCUCAUUGUGGCUCAACCUCUGUUUAGAUAACUCAAAUGUCUCUUAUUCUGUGAGUUUAAUUGAUUUGGUUUCUAUUUUGAUUUGAAGAAUUUUACAGAUUAGAAGUGCAGAAGGAACCUAACCAUUGCAAUACUCUAACAUUCUUGAUCCAAAUUAUUUUAUUUAUCAUCUACACUCAAUAUUUGUAUAAUGAAAAGUCCUACUGUAUUGUUAAGCUUCUAUUAAUUUGUUAACAAAGUAGAACCCUACUGUUAUAGUUAAGCUUCUACAUGAAUAAGCUUCUUUCAAAGAAAUGGAACAUGGCUCAAAUAUGACUUUUGAUUUAGUCCCUUAACUUAUUAUUUAGUGUUUGUUUUGAGAAAGACUGUGUUGUGUUAGUAAGGGGUUGCUUGGAUUUCUUGGACUUUUUAAUAUUCUUAUUUUAAUUCCAAUUGCCCUCAUACUCAAUUUUACCAAACUGGAACCUUUUCAUACACUUACCCUGAAGCAGCUUGGUCUGAUCAUUGGCAAAGGUCAGUUAUUCAUUAUUAUUAGUAGCUUGACAUUGUGGUUUAGUUCUUUUACUUUCAUAUUCAUUGCAUAGGACAAUAAUUUGUGCAUUUUUUCCUUUGAAUCUACCGCUGCUUGUGCAAUCUGAUGAUGAGAAUUUUUUUUUUAAAGGACGAAUAUAUGGCUAAAUUUUGCAUAGGACAAUAAUUGGUUUCCAUGUUGUGUUGUAAUUGAAACCGCCUAAUCUAAAUAAGUUUGUAUUCCUUGGAAGGCCAGUGUGGAAGGAAGCUUGUGCUACUCUUCAAAAGCUCCUUUCAGGUACAAGUUGCAACCUCAAUUUGUUCUUUUCUUUUACAAGUAGGACAAGGUGAUUUGUGUGGUACAAUAUUGAAGGAAUCUGGGUAGGAAAGAAAGAAAGAAAUAAAAAUAAAAGGAAAAUAAUAAAAUAGAGAAAAAACGUCAUUUAUUAGUUGAGCAAACAAACAUUCUAAUGCCUUAAACGCUACACUGGCUUCUACUUCCAUUAACACUUUCACUGGUUUUGUUGGAUGGAAAUCUUCUUCUUUGUUUCAUGGAAAUCAUCUUCUUUGUUUCCACAUUCUAAUGCCUUAAACGCUACACUUUCACUCCCUUUCAACCCAAAACUGCACUUCUCCGUCACUUGCUCUGCCUCUUUUUCCGGUACCACAGUUUUUUCUUUCUUCUCAUUAUGCUCUUCAUUUUGUUCAAUUUAGCUUCUUUUUCUUUUUUAUUUUUCUUUCAGUUCAUUUAUUUUUUGAAGUGGUAAUGUAGCUACUUUAUCUGUGUGAUAAUAAAGGUGACAUUGCUGGUUCCUAAUAGCAUUCAGUUUUAAUAAAUUUGUUGCUUUAGAUAGUGGUGCAAAUUGUUAUAGGGUUCUAGGAGAGGGUAAUUCAGGUAUUUUUGAGUCAUUGAGAUGAAUCAAUUAAUGGAGAUUGUUGAAUUUGAUUGAUUGAAAGCAUGGAAAAAGAGGGGAAAAAGUUCUGUUAACAAUUAACAUUCAUUUGUAUGUUUUACAGAAAUGAGUAAUACUGUUCAAAUUUGGGAGACUGUUAUAAGCAUUUCUUUCUCUUGAUUACUCUUUCAUUAUCUUGAUUAUACUCAUUUAAGCAAGAGAAAUUCAUGAUUUUUGUGGUGAUUUUGUCUUCAGAUCCUCUGCUGGUGAAGGCUGCUAGAGGAGAACCUGUUAGUCGGCCACCAGCAAGGAUGAUUUUGUCUUCAUGAUAUAUUUGAGCAUUGUUUGUGUAUUGACAUUUGACAAAUCUGUUUGUGGUAUCAAAUUAUCUUCAAAUCUUACAUUUUGUUUGUGAUUUUUUAGUUGGCAUUGAUGCUUAUAUUUGCAAGUUACUCCAAAACUGCUGGUUUAAGUCGAUUUUGAGGAGCAUAGCUAUAUACUUAUUAACAAAUACUUGAACGAAUGAAACUAUAUAAUACUACGUCUUUUCUCUUAGCUUAUUAUGCUAUACUAGUUCAGUUCGUUGUAAUUACUGUGAGGAGCAUAGCUAUAUACUUAUUAUUGCUUAUUAUGCUAUACUAAUUAGUUUAGUGAGAUUGUAUUAUUAUUAGUUAUUAUUGAUGGAUCACGUGAAUUAACCUCAAUUUCUUUUGGGUUAUUAACUCACCUGGUGUGGAACUUCUUAGUUUAUGCAUUUUUAUUUUAACCAAGAGAUUUAUUCUUUCAUGUAGGUAAGUUCUUUCAACCAAAGCACUCUAGCUUUUCAAGCAAAGAACAUGGUCUCUGCUCCCAUCCUUUUCAUUCUUUCUUUUUCUUAAUUCAUAAUUAAGGAAGAUACUAAUAUACUUGAGUUUUUUCUAACUUAGCCUUUGCUCAUUGGGUUCAAGUCAGAACUUUUAUAGCAUGAAGUAUAUACUGUCUUUAAAUUCGCCAGACAAGGUUGGUACAUAACUUUGUGUUUGUCUUUUUAAUGCUUAUUAUUCAGGUAUUCUAAUUUGCCAAAAAUGUUUAUACAGAUAAAGAUCAGAUUUAAGAUUUUUUCUAAUUCUUUAUGUGGAGCAGUUACCAUUAAAGUCAAGAGAGUCCACUCAAGCUGGGUUACCACACCAACUUUGUUGAAGAAAAAUGAAGAAAUUGUCACCUUUAGGCUAUAGUAUUUUUGUAUUUUGAAAAAUGAUGAUGAUAUAAGUAAAAGUAGUUAUGACCUAGACUAGUAUGAUGUUAUUUUGCAAUGAUGAUAUAUUGUGAUUGUGGAUCUUAUAACAAUUUUUAUAAGUCAAAUUUGUUGGUAAAUGUUCAAUUAGUUUUUUUUA
This 3038-nucleotide long non-coding RNA is filed under the name Arachis ipaensis. Its description in RNAcentral is "long non-coding RNA (AIPA_LNC002352)". The record is from RNAcentral. Lineage: Eukaryota; Viridiplantae; Streptophyta; Magnoliopsida; Fabales; Fabaceae.